GACGAACGCUGGCGGCGUGCUUAACACAUGCAAGUCGAACGGAAAGGCCCUGCUUUUGUGGGGUGCUCGAGUGGCGAACGGGUGAGUAACACGUGAGCAACCUGCCCUUGACUUUGGGAUAACUUCAGGAAACUGGGGCUAAUACCGGAUAGGAGCUCCUGCUGCAUGGUGGGGGUUGGAAAGUUUCGGCGGUUGGGGAUGGACUCGCGGCUUAUCAGCUUGUUGGUGGGGUAGUGGCUUACCAAGGCUUUGACGGGUAGCCGGCCUGAGAGGGUGACCGGCCACAUUGGGACUGAGAUACGGCCCAGACUCCUACGGGAGGCAGCAGUGGGGAAUAUUGCACAAUGGGCGGAAGCCUGAUGCAGCAACGCCGCGUGCGGGAUGACGGCCUUCGGGUUGUAAACCGCUUUCGCCUGUGACGAAGCGUGAGUGACGGUAAUGGGUAAAGAAGCACCGGCUAACUACGUGCCAGCAGCCGCGGUGAUACGUAGGGUGCGGGCGUUGUCCGGAUUUAUUGGGCGUAAAGGGCUCGUAGGUGGUUGAUCGCGUCGGAAGUGUAAUCUUGGGGCUUAACCCUGAGCGUGCUUUCGAUACGGGUUGACUUGAGGAAGGUAGGGGAGAAUGGAAUUCCUGGUGGAGCGGUGGAAUGCGCAGAUAUCAGAAGGAACACCAGUGGCGAAGGCGGUUCUCUGGGCCUUUCCUGACGCUGAGGAGCGAAAGCGUGGGGAGCGAACAGGCUUAGAUACCCUGGUAGUCCACGCUGUAAACGGUGGGUACUAGGUGUGGGGUCCAUUCCACGGGUUCCGUGCCGUAGCUAACGCUUUAAGUACCCCGCCUGGGGAGUACGGCCGCAAGGCUAAAACUCAAAGGAAUUGACGGGGCCCCGCACGAGCGGCGGAGCAUGCGGAUUAAUUCGAUGCAACGCGUAGAACCUUACCUGGGUUUGACAUGGAUCGGGAGUGCUCAGAGAUGGGUGUGCCUCUUUCGGGGUCGGUUCACAGGUGGUGCAUGGCUGUCGUCAGCUCGUGUCGUGAGAUGUUGGGUUAAGUCCCGCAACGAGCGCAACCCUUGUUCACUGUUGCCAGCACGUUAUGGUGGGGACUCAGUGGAGACCGCCGGGGUCAACUCGGAGGAAGGUGGGGAUGACGUCAAGUCAUCAUGCCCCUUAUGUCCAGGGCUUCACGCAUGCUACAAUGGCUGGUACAGAGAGUGGCGAGCCUGUGAGGGUGAGCGAAUCUCGGAAAGCCGGUCUCAGUUCGGAUUGGGGUCUGCAACUCGACCUCAUGAAGUCGGAGUCGCUAGUAAUCGCAGAUCAGCAACGCUGCGGUGAAUACGUUCCCGGGGCU
Molecule: ribosomal RNA, 1346 nt
Filed under: uncultured bacterium
Lineage: Bacteria
Description: partial 16S ribosomal RNA
Rfam family: Bacterial small subunit ribosomal RNA
Source: RNAcentral